This 532-nucleotide ribosomal RNA is filed under the name uncultured bacterium. RNAcentral's name for it is "bacterial SSU rRNA". It matches the Rfam family "Bacterial small subunit ribosomal RNA", at positions 399 to 919 of the family's 1533-position model. The record is from RNAcentral.
GCGUGAGUGAAGAAGGCCUUCGGGUUGUAAAGCGUCUUUCGGCUGGGAAGAAAUCGCAUCUCCGUAAUACGGGGGUGUGGAUGACGGUACCAGCAUAAGAAGCACCGGCUAACUACGUGCCAGCAGCCGCGGUAAUACGUAGGGUGCGAGCGUUAAUCGGAAUUACUGGGCGUAAAGCGUGCGCAGGCGGUUUCGUAAGACAGAGGUGAAAUCCCCGGGCUCAACCUGGGAACUGCCUUUGUGACUGCGAGGCUAGAGUAUGGCAGAGGGGGGUGGAAUUCCACGUGUAGCAGUGAAAUGCGUAGAGAUGUGGAGGAACACCGAUGGCGAAGGCAGCCCCCUGGGCCAAUACUGACGCUCAUGCACGAAAGCGUGGGGAGCAAACAGGAUUAGAUACCCUGGUAGUCCACGCCCUAAACGAUGUCAACUAGGUGUUGGGUGGGUUAAACCAUUUAGUACCGUAGCUAACGCGUGAAGUUGACCGCCUGGGGAGUACGGCCGCAAGGUUAAAACUCAAAGGAAUUGACGGGGA